Molecule: long non-coding RNA, 1461 nt
Filed under: Lathyrus oleraceus (garden pea)
Lineage: Eukaryota; Viridiplantae; Streptophyta; Magnoliopsida; Fabales; Fabaceae
Description: Pisum sativum (pea) long non-coding RNA (PSAT_LNC014117)
Source: RNAcentral
AAAAAGGACACUUUCAUCAUGCUAAACCAUGCUACUUCAUACCAUGCCUUGUACCUCAAAAGGACAGCAGCAUUAUGCAUCAUUUGCUGUCAUUUGAAGCCUCAUUUGCAGCCUAAAAAACCAGCAAAACAAAGGCCAUGCUUGCUUGCUUGAUUUUGGAGAAAAAGUACAAUUUGCAACCAUACCUAUCCAUACUAUCCAUGAGCCAUGCUUUGUAUCUCUUAGCAAAAGAUUUUAUAUCAUUUUUUUUCUGUCAAUUGAAGACUAGAAGCAACCAUACACAACAGAACUUCAUUCAUUCAUACUCAUUCUUGGCAUUUUUUCCAAAACCUGUCAAAAAAAAAAAAAAUCCCAAAAGACCAAGCUUUGCCUUGCCAAAAGCAACAUCAAACAGCAGACCAAAGCAUCAUUUUCUGUCAAUAGAAGACCUUAGUUGCAGCAAAAAACACAAAAACAUCUCAUUCUAAAAAAGCUUCAUUUUGUGCAUUUUCAAAAACCAGUCCAAAUUUUAAGCCAUUGCAAGUUGUUUUGAACCAAGCUUUCUUCACCAAUCAUCAUUUGGAGGGCUGUGCUUCAUCUGUUUCGAAUCAACAAUAUCAAAAAACCUCUAAAUCCCAACUGUUCUACAAAAUAGGUGAGUUUUCGACCUCAACCUUUUCUAAAAUCAUGAUGUACAUCUUAUAGAUCUUUUCACCCUGAACACGCCGAGCUUUGAAUCGAGAAAAACGGUUAGGAAUUGAGAGAGAAAUUUGAUUUCCAAAUUUGAUAUUCAUUUACUCUUUUACAUAAUUUGUCCAUUGUAGCAUGAGUUGAGAUUAUUGGAAUUUGAUUUAUGCUUGAGCAUGUUUAGAUAAGCAUCUUAGUGUUUUGGAUUUUCGGUUUUGGUAAAAAAAAAAAAAAAAAAAAAAAAUUGCAUUACUGGAAUUUACAUGGAUGCUGGACGUUUUGCUGUAACAUUUCCUGGAAUUUGCUUCCUGUAGCAUGCCGUUUAAUUGGUAGGGUCUAAUGCAUGUUGACGUGCAUGUUUACUGUAGCGUAGCGUUUGUAAAUAAAUGCCAAAAGGCCUGGGGCGAGGGGGAUUCGAACCCCAGACCUUUGCUUCAAAUACCAAGUGUUUUACCACUGGGGCGCAAUGCCAAUUCAUUAAUUAAACGCCUUCUACAAAAUAUAUGUUAAAAAAGGGCGCUGACUUUGCAAAUUUAAUGAAACGCUGGGUUUCAUACUCAGCAUGGGGGGCGUUUUGGUCAUUUACCACAGCGCCUAUUAUUUAAUCCACUUUAAUUCAUUUAGUCUCAAUUUUUAUUUCAUUUACCAUGCCAAUCUUACAAAAUUCAUAGAUCAUUCAUUUUAAAUCCAAAUUUCAUGGGAUUUUUUGCAUAAUGAUCAUCACAAUCUCUAGUUUUUUAUCAUUAUUUUUCCAGAUUUUUUGGUUGAGUAAUUUUUAAUUGGCCUUAGGGUUUG